UGCCACCGCAUUUUCCCUUCCAUUUCCACCACACCAUUAACAUUGCCCCUUCCUCCACCCUCCUUGACUACCCCAAUUAACCUUGAAUUUGCCACCCUAAACCCCUAGAUCCACCACUCCAAACGCUCAUUGCAAGAUAAGAGGGUUUUGUUGUGGCCUAAUAUGAGAAAGAUUAGGAUGUGAGGAUGGUGGCAGUCACAUGGCAGGGAAGAAGUGGGGCAAGGAAGUUCAGAACAUGUGUGAUGAGGAGGUUGCCGAGUUCGAAAGGGCUA
This 272-nucleotide long non-coding RNA is filed under the name Actinidia chinensis (golden kiwifruit). RNAcentral's name for it is "long non-coding RNA (ACHI_LNC006951)". The record is from RNAcentral. Lineage: Eukaryota; Viridiplantae; Streptophyta; Magnoliopsida; Ericales; Actinidiaceae.